UGAGGAGGGAAGCAGCUGCCUCUGCUACAUCCAUGUAAACAUCAUACAGUAGUGUAUUACCUGGAUGAGUAUACUUAGAUAAAUUGUUGGUAAAAUGACAAACACAAGUUCCCAGGCAAGAAUAGCCAACACUCCAAAACUGGCAUAAGCAUUCAUAGCUGCCCCAACAGCAAAAGUAAAUUUGAAGGCCACAUCAAGGUCAACCACACUCAAAUCAGAAGAUACCUGCAAAAAGGCAAUAAAAAAAUAAGUCUUCUGUUCUUUGCAAUAGGCAUUUAUUUUAAGCAUCUUACCCGACUGAGUAUCCUUCCCAGAGGUGUUGAGUCAUAAAAGGACAUUGGUGCUCGAAAAAGAGAGCUCAGCAGUGUAGAGAAAAUAGAUUGUGAUGCCUCAAGGCCUAAAAGAACAACAAAAAAAGACCGGAGCAACAAAAAGAGUGAUAAGCUUAAUCCGAUCCCUGUGUAAACUGCAAUCAGUUUCAAUUGGCUAACACUAGAAUUCUGGACAUUUGCAGCCAACCAAUAGUUUUGCACCAACUGUCCAACAAUGAAUAUGACAUGAGAUAGAGUUGCCAAAAAGAAGUACAAGAAUCCCUUGCUGUAUUUCAAGUAUUGUAGGUAAGGCUUGAGACCAGUGUCUCCAAUUUCUCUUUCUUCUUUCUUAAUUAACUGCUCUCCUGAUGUGUCUCUCAAUUGUUUCUCGGUGUAAAUCUUCUGUAUCUCUCCCUUUGGAAUUUUAGAUUUCUGGGUAGAAUCUUGCUCAGGUUGCCUCUCAGAACCAACUGUGGCAUUGUGUGCAUUAACAAGGUCCUGGAACUCUUGACUAAAGCGCAUCAGUUGCUCAAAGGUAGCAGCUUGCAGGAUCUCCCCUUCGGACAUUAACUGCCAACAGAAUUAGUCAUUUGGACUGCUUGAUUUAAAAGCAUGUGUUACUCAAGGAUUGCCUUCCAGAUGGUGGAAAUUACUUGUUAAGAAAGGAAAAGAAGUCAAAUGAGAGUUAAAGAAGGACAUCCAAGAAAGUAACUGUACUAACCAGAACCGAAUCAAAUGCUGGAAGGAAGUCCACUUGGUGGGUCACAAGUAUGACCGUCUUCGUUGAUAGAGCUCCCAUGACAUAUUCCUGGCCACAACUGGCAUUAGCAUUCACUCUGAAAGCAAUAACAUUAGUAGCAUAAUUUCUAAAAAAGGAGAACCGUACAUACAUUAAAUAGACUGGUUGCAGUAUGUGCAUCGACCGCACUAAAUGGAUCAUCCAGGAGAUAUACAUCUGCAUCCUGAUAUAAUGCGCGUGCGAGUUGAACCCUCUGCUUCUGUCCACCACUCAGAUUAACACCUCUUUCUCCUAUUUCAGUGAGAUCACCAAAUGGAAGCAUCUCAAGGUCCUUCACUAGGGCACACUUCUCAAUAACCUCUCUGUAUCUGUAAGGAUCCAUAGCAGACCCAAACAGAAUAUUUUCUUGUAUGGUACCUGUUGGAAUCCAUGCUGUCUGAGAGACGUAAGCAAUCUUUCCAUAAACUCGAACCUGGAAAAGAUGGAUCCAGAAUCCGUAUUAAGACAUUUGUCUACGUAAGACUCCUAGAACCUUUCGGGGCUCAUGAAGUUUUCUACCUUCCCCUUUUCCCCCCAUGAUGUUAAUAUCUACCAAAUGAAGUGUGUAUAAAUCAGGAAUGAUGCAUUACUUCUUUCACUUUUUAAGUUUGUUUUCUUUUGUAUUCCUAGUUAGGAAACCCUGAAAGAACAUAAAAAUUCCCUGUGGGUUUGUUGUUAUUCCUCUCAGUACAACUGUGCAUAAAGUAGUUGUUGAGUAUUUAUUCUAGUCCAUGGAUGAGGAAGAAAUGGAAUUGAAAGGGGUACUUACUAUGCCAUUAACGUGUGGAACUUCUCCAAGAACAGCAGCUAAUAGUGUCGAUUUACCUGAGCCAACCUCUCCACAAAUUGCUACCUUUUCCCCAGGCUUAACCACCAAAGUUAUGUUCCUUAGCGUAGCCCUUGUAGUGUUAUCCUCCCAUGAAAUUCUGUUGCUCUUGAUAAAAAUGGAUUCCUCCAGCUCCUUCCCAUCACACAUCUUCCUUACAUGUUUGUUCUGCAGCUCUGGUGCAUCAAGAAACUUUGCAAUCCGAUCUAACGAAACCUUGGCCUCAAUGAAUGCUGAAAUGACAUCAGGGAUUAACCUUAUUGGCUCCUGGGCAAGGCGUAAACUUGCCAUAAAUGUGAAAACAUUGGUAGCAGAGAGAGUAGUUCCAAGAAAGUAGCAUGCCCAGAAAGUAACCGCCGAUACUACAAUGGGAGAGGACCAAAACAGAAUCAGAUUGUACCCUCUCUGUGACAGAACUGAUGAUAACCACUUGAAUUCCUCUUUCCUCAACCCUUCUAUGACAUUCUUGAAAUGAGUCUCCCAAGCAUACAGCUUCAGAAUUUUCAUGUUUGUAAGUGCCUCUGUGAAAGUCUUCAGCCUCUUGUCCUGAGUUCCCAUGAGCAUUUUCUGGUACUUGUGUUGUAACUUUCCCAUAGGAGAGUUUGUAACUACAGUCAAUAUUACUACAGACAGAGCUGCUAUAGUUGCAAGCCCCACCGAGUAGUAAAUAAUAAGCAAUGCCAGACACAACUGGAGGCUUGUUGACCAUAUCUGGUGAAACCAGUACGGGUAUUCACCUAUUUUGUAAGCAUCAAUGGUAACAAAGUUAAUGAUCUGACCAGGGGAAUACGACCCCUUUGCAGCAUUUGAGAGCUUAAGCUGCUUCUGAUAGAUGGCUGCAGAUAGAAAUGAUCUCACUUGGAGCCCAAUCAAUCUAGUUCGAAAGAACCAUUGCCUCUCUGAUAACGAUUCUAAGCAUUUAGUAAGGAAGAGCCCUCCUGUCAGUGCAUAACCUUCAUACUCAAAAGCUUCUUUGCCUUCAGCAACCAGGAUGAAGGCUCUAAGAAACAGAGGGCCAGUAGAAAGUGUCAGUACCUUGAUCAAUGCAUAAAAGCCAGAAAACAAAAUUUGUUUCCACUGCCACAACAAUAUAGUUGACAAAAUGGAAGGAGAGUGAGAUGACCGCUUGUUUUUCUGCUUGUUCUGCUGUUCCAUGAACAUUGAGUAACACAUUUCCGCUCGAUCUUCCCUUCUUAGCUGUGGAAUGUCUUUGUCCUCAAGUGUUUUCUCCUUACCCUUCUUGAUCAACGAAUUCAACCACCAAAAUGACAGUCUACUAAUAAGCCCGGCUUUCUGAAAAGGAGGUAAGCUGGCAUCUGAAUUGAUUUUAUCACCACCACUGCCUCCUUCACCAGGCAACGGUGUAUAGAAGCCAGCACCAUCAAUUUCUGAAUCAGUUCCUGCAUAUUUCGGUCCUGAAAAAGUGGAGAACAUCGAUAGAAUUGCUCCAGGAAAAGAUAUAACAUCUAAAAUCAUCUUGACUGAUACUGCAUCGCUCACAAUAGCUUCCCAGAAAGAUGUAACACAGAGAAAACCUGCAAUAAAGAAUGCAAGUACUGAACAGAGCUUCAGCCCUGCAAUAUGUAGAACUUGAUGCCUCCUAAACCUCACAGCUAAACCCAGAAAAAACCAGGCGAAGCCUUGUAAUAAAUUCACUAGCCAGCCAUGCAGAGGUAGAAUGGUGUUCUCUUCAAUCAGCUUCUCUCCCAAAAUCCAGAUCCCCAAACCCAGAUAAACAAACCCCAAACUACCAUUAAGAAAGGCUGCAGAAUUUAGCGUUGUGGAAAAGCAUAGAGACCGUUGAGGGGAUAAUAUCUUCAAAGCUGAUGCUUUAUAUAUGAAGAUAAAUAAUAAUAAGAACAAGAGGAUGAUGUCUACAGAAAUGACCAAAAUAUGAUUGAGACAUGAACAUGGACAGAUGAUGGCUAGGAACCCAGAACUGCUUAUCUUUCCAAUUUUACUUGAACACCCGGUACUUCCACAGAAAACAGUCCAGAGACUCUCACCCAUGUUGUAUCUUCUUGCCUGCACAAAACUGUGGCUGUAAUAAAAUAAAAAAAAUAAAAAAAAGAAACAAAAAGCAAAGGGUUAUUUAUUAGAUUUUUGGCGUUUUAGAGUUGGAAGUAGUACUAAACAUGAGAACCAUCAAUGCGUGCCUAAUAGUUUCAGUUCUCAGUGGAACUUAAAAGUUAAAUUUAUCAUACAGGACUGAUCUGAACUUAAUUCACAACCCCAGGUGCCUAAGAUCAGGAGAAAGAAUCCAAGAACAACUGAACUGAGAUUGAAGAGAACUGACCAUAGACAGAGAACAUGAGAAAUUGCAGAAAACAGAUAGGGAGAAUGGGAUCCAAUGGAAAUGAAUCAAACAUGAAAGCAGAAGAUGUGAACAAGAUUCAGGAAACGUAUGCAAAACCCCCCAUUUCUCUGUUUCGUUGUUGAGAAAGAUACUGGAAAAUAAAUGUAAACCUUGAAUCUCAUAACAAGUAAGGGAUGGAGUGGUAGCCUUAAGAUUGCAAAACUUCUUUUCUUAUACCAUGAGUCUCAGUAACCAAACACAACCCACUGAGAUUCCUUGACCAAGCACAGUCUAGGCCUAUUUUCUCAAGCUGAAAGGAUGAGCACAAAAAAACAGGAACAAGAAGAUGAGGCAGUUACCUUAGGAUACGUUGGACAAUGAUGUAAAACCAAACCACAUCUUUUUAUUUAAGCUUUCUGGAAAGGGGACAGGAAUAAUUAUAUAGUAGAAAAGCUUGCAGAAAUAAAUAGAAUCGAAUGGAAAGAAAUUGUUCCUUUUCUUUCGGUCCUAGCUUACACUUUUCCAGGUUCCCAUAAUAAUAGCUAAAGGACCCCUUGAUAGGAUCAAUUCAAGAAAAAGAUGGGAAAAAAAGAAAAGAAGAAAAACAGAGCCCAGAAGAGGAAAAUAGUAGAAAAUUAAUGCUCACAAUGCACUGAGUCAGCCCAACAGAAAAAGAAGUUUUAUAUGAAGGACCCAAGAAUUCAAAGCAAUUAAUGAGGAAACAAACAGAAUGAUGGAGCAACUUCAGAGAGUGAAAACCAUCUUGAACCAAUUAUAGAAUGCACAGAACAUGGGGGUGGUCAAAAUGUUAUGCUGAAGAAGAGAUACAAAAUUCAUAUGGGUAAAAACCAGCAUAGGCCAUCCAGUAUCUCACCAUGCGUCAUCAAAUCAGUCUGCCCUUUUUUUUUCCUUUUUUUUAUUAUUAUUUUUUUAUUUUUAUACGAGCAUAGGUCAUUCAUAGUCUUCUCCGUCUCAUCAAAUCAUGGUGUAGUUUUCACCUUCUACACCUCACUACUGUCUUUUCUUGCAUUAUAAAUGUGUUGUUUCACUGAAAUGACUAAUUGAGUUGUUCUCACGUGUUAGAGUUUUGAGGAAACUUGUGUUUUCAUGACGGUAAAUAUAUGAUUUGAUAACCACAUUUUAAUAUGGAAAGUAAUAUUACCCUUUCACUCUAAGCCCACUCCAUUUUUUAUGUCAAAAUUACGUAUAAAAAAAAAAUUAGGUUAUAGGCGACAGCGAUGGAGUGAUGUGGAGCUGUGACGACCUUGGCACCUUCGGAUUUUUCUUCCACGGGAGCAUCCAAGCCUCCAUGUCCAGAGAUGGGUUUAGCUUCAAUGGUAACGGGGCCGAUGGAUUGAGCGGCAAUGGUUGAAGGAAAAGAAAAAUUCGGAGGUGCCAACAAUUCUAGUUUGAUAUUCAAUUUUUUUUUAACAAAGUUAAAUACAAUAAUGUAAAUUAAUUAAAAACUAAAUAAUUUUUUUUUGAAAAAAAACUUAAAUUACAAAUUCCAAUAUGUUUCCUUUUAAGCAAAAUCGAAAGAUUAAAAAUGGUUUUUAAUUUGUUAACAUUUAUCACAUGGGAUCAUAAAAUGACAGUUUUUUAAGUUCCUUGAUGUAUUCUCAUGAUACCUAAGUUCUUGAUGUAUUCUCAUGAUACACGAAUUUCAUUUGGCAUAACUCAUAAUUUAUGGUAAGCAAAUGCCCACUAUAUGUUAUUUGAGUUUUAUCUUUAUUGGGUUUGAUAUAAAUUAAGGUAAUGUUUAUUUUUUGAUUAAAUAGAAAAAAUCAACAUAUUUGACUUUUUCUAUUUAGCUAAAAGUACAUUGUUGAUAUUAAUCAACUUAACUAAAAUGAAUUUGUUAUCAAAUCUUAAUGUUGUUUGGGUUUUAAUAUGACUUAGAUCUUAAUGUGACUCGGGUUUUAACAUAACUCAAGUUUAAAUGACUUGAUCUUAAUUAAAAAAUAUCUUUUUUUUUUGUUUUGAAUGUCUUGACAAUUCAAAAAGCUUUAUAAGAAUCGAAGAUUCUAUCAUGUCUUAUUAAAAAAAAAAAGAAUCUUUGCAAUUUCAAAUAUUUCCUAUUGGAAUAAUUUAGUGACAACUGAAUAUAUUCUUAGACUCUUGUACUUCCAAAAAAGAAAAACAUGAUAAAAAGAGUUGUAGGUUAACUCAUUCUAAUUUUAUAACAUAAAUUCUAAAUAAAUCAUUAAUUGGUUUAAUUAAUAAAAGGAUGAUUGUUAGCGUCAAUACCACCAAACUUCAUAUCUUUGUGUAAUCAUAGCAAUCAUAGAAAACAUUUUCUAAGAUGACGUCUUUACGUUCAGUAAUACAAAUUGAGCAACACUUCAAACACAUACACAUUUACUCUCUUAAUUACUGGUAUAAAAAAAUUCCUUUGGGUGUGGCUUUUUUUUUCUUCUUUAAAGGACAAAAGAAAAAGCCCUAUUUACUUUUGUACAUUCACUUUAGAAGGUUGUAAGAAAUAAUUGUAGACCGAAACAGCUUUUCUUUCUCCUUUUUUAUUAUUAUUUUUUUAUAUUUUUUUUAUUAAAUGACUAAAGAAAAAGCCCUAUUUACUUUUGUACAUUCACUUUAGAAGGUGAGUUUAAGUAUAAAAUAAUUCAUUUGUUGAAAAAAAAUGGUAAGAAUAGUAAUCACCUUAAAAUAUUUGUCAAACUAAUCUUUUGUAUGCAUGUGAGCAUCCACAUAAUUUUUUUUUUUAAGUGUAAAAAACCACCGUUGGUAAUUGUGGUUUUAAAAGUUUUAAAAAUAUCUUUAAAAUCACAAUUUGUAAUUGUGGUUUUACAAUUUUUCUUAAAAUUACAGUUAGUAAUUGUGGUUUCAAAAUUAUUUUUAAUCUACGCUCGUUUUAAUAGUAUUGUGAUUUUAAUAUUAUUUUUAAAAUAUUCUUUAUCAUAAUAACCAUAAAAAAUAUUUUUUGUCAUAAUAACCAUAAAACCACGGUUAAUAACUGUGGUUUUAAAAAUAUCAUAAAAACCAUAGUCAUAGACAGUGGUUUUACAAUUUUAUUUGUGAUUGUGGUUUUAUAAUUUUCUUUAAAACCAUAGUUAGAAGGGUACUCAUGUAACUAUAACUAAAAAAAAAAAAAAAAGAUUUUAGAACUUUGUUUUUUUAUUUUUAAUUUUAGUAUAAAUUAUGGAUGUACCAAAAUUUCUUAACGAUGAACCAAAUUUCCUUAAAGUUCGUUUCGGAGUGGGGAAAAUUUCUUACAAUUAUCCAUUGUCAAUUUAAAAUUAUUUUUUUGUACAAAUUAUCCUUAAUAAAUUUUUUCAUUACGAAUGUUUUAAAAUUAUAUAUAUAUAUAUAUAUUUAUCUUUAUUUUUCAUAUUUUUCUUGAAAUUUUGAGAAAAUAAUUUGGCCUACAUGCAUUCCCAUAAAAAAUUAUAUAUUUAUGUUAAAUAAAAUAUUUAUUUAAGGAAAUUUGUAAAAAAUAAACUUUAAGAAAAUUUGGUAUAUCGUUAAGAAAAACCUUCAUAAUUUAUACUAAAAUUUAAAAAAAAAAAAACAAAGUUCUAAAAUUUUAUAUUUCUUUUUUAGUUAUGAUUACAUGAGUCACCUUCUAACUGUGGUUUUAAAGAAAAUUGUAAAACCAUAAUCACAAAGAAAACUAUAAAACCAUCGUCUAUGAUUGUGGUUUUUAUGAUAUUUUUAAAUCCAUAGUUACUAACUGUGGUUUAAUGGUUAUUAUGACAAAAAAUAUUUUUUUAUGGUUAUUAUGAUAAAUAAUAUUAAAAUCACAAUCCUAUUAAAACGGGUGUUAAUUAAAAGUAAUUUUGAAACCACAAUUACUAACCGUGGCUUUAAAGAAAAUUGUAAGACACACGGUCUAUAAUUGUGGUUCAAAUAUAUUUUUGAAACUUUUAAAACUACAUUUAUCAAUAGUGGUUUUUUACAUUUAAAAAAGAAAAAUUAUAUGGAUAUAAAAAAUUAAUUUGGUAAAUAUUUUGUGGAUACAAAAGAUUAAUUUGACAAUUAUUAUGAGAUGAGUGUUAUUCUUAUCAUUGUUUUCAACAAAUGGAUUAUUUUGGACUCAAACUGUUAGAAGGUUGUAAUGAAUGAUUGUUGACUGAAACAGCUUUUCCUUUUUCCUUUUCAUCUCCUAAAUGGUCAAAGUGACUUUUAUCUUGAGGCAAAAGUCUCAUCUUUUUCCUCCAUGUGUUAUAUCAAAUUGGGGACCUCAACUUUCCAUAUUCAGUCUCAGAGGUCAUGAUACCAGUUUGGAAAAGCUCCAUUCUGCUAACCUUACACUCUCUUAUCCUAAUCAUAUGCAUUUUGUUCUUAUAUCAAAACCUUGGUCCCACGUCAUGUGUAUAACAAAUGAAUAGAUAAAUCUAAUAUUAUUUUCGAAGGAAUAUUGUUGAUUUUAAAUUAAGAUGGUGUUUAUUUUUUGAUUAAAUAUAAAAAAUCGAAAUAUUUAAUUUUUUCUAUUCAGUUAAAAGUAUUUUAUUGAUAUUAACCAAUUUAAUUAAAAUGAAUUUAUUAUCAAGUCUUAAUGUUGUUUGGACUUUAAUGCGACUUAGGUUUUAAUGUGACUCGAGUUUUAGCAUAACUCAAAUUUAAAUGGCUUGAUGUUAAUUAAAAAAGACCUUUUUUUUUUUUUUUUUUUAAUGUCUUGACAAUUCAAAAAGCUUCAUAAAAAUUGAAGAUUCUAUCAUAAGUCUUAUUAAAAAAAAAAAAAAUCUUUGCAAUUUCAAAUAUUUCCUACUGGAAUAAUUUAGUGACAGCUGAAUAUAUUGUUAGACUCUUGUACUUCCAAAAAAGAAAAACAUGAUAAAAAAAGAUGUAGGUUAACUCAUUCUAAUUUUAUAACAUAAAUUCUAAAUAAAUCAUUAAUUGGUUUAAUUAUUAAAAGGAUGAUUGUUAGCGUCAAUACCACCAAACUUCAUAUCUUUGUGUAAUCAUCGCAAUCAUAGAAAACAUUUUUUAAGAUGACGUCUUUCCAUCCCGUAAUACAAAUUAAAUUAAAUUCUGAAAAUUUUGAAAAAGAAAAUGAAAUAAAGAAGGAAAAAAUAAUGAAAAUUUUAAAAGUAGAUCUUAAAAUAAUAAGUUAUUUUUACUUGUUUCUUCACACUCAUUUAAUUUAUUUAUUUUUAUAUACAAAUUAAAUAAUUUAUAAAAAUGUAUAACACGUGACAUUUGUUAUGUUCCUUCUUAAAGGACAAAAGAAAAAGCCCUAUUUACUUUUAUGCAUUCACUUUAGAAGGCUGUAAGAAAUGAUUGUCGACUGAAACAGCUUUUCUUUCUCCUUUUUAAUUAUUUUUUAUUAUAUUUUUUUAUUAAAUGACUAAAGAAAAAGCCCUAUUUACUUUUGUACAUUCACUUUAGAAGGUUGUAAUGAAUGAUUGUUGACUGAAACAGCUUUUCUUUUUCCUUUUCGUCUCCUGAAUGGUCAAAGUGACCUUUAUCUUGAGGCAAAAGUCUCAUCUUUUCAUUUGGCUCCAUCUUUUUCCUCCACGUGUGAUAUUGAAUUGGGGACCUCCACUUUCUAUAUUCAUAGAUACCAGGCUGGAAAAGCUCCAUUCUCUUAUCCUAACCAUAUGCAUUUUUGUUCUUAUAUUUUAUAUAAAAAUUAUUAUUAUUAUUAUUAUUAUUAUUAUUAUUGUUUUUAAAAACAAAAAAUACAAGUCUAUACAAACAACACCUAACUCCUAACUCUUGGCUAGGAGUUGAGUUUUUAACUCGAUUAAACCUAAGAGAUAUCAGGGAUAGAUACUAUAAAUAACUAAUCAAAAUAAUUAAUUAAAAUAAUAUGCAAUGAGCAUAAGAUUUUUACGUGAAAAACCCUCACAUAAAUUGUGAAGAUAAAAAAAAUUAUGGGUUUGGGACCUCUAAUCUAAAUCCAUUAUUCGGGAUUAAGUUACAUAAAUUUACCUAACUAUUUACCCUAAGACAGUCCAUAACCUACAACUUGAUCCACAUUCGCGAUGUAGUAAUCUCCAAUUGCUCCUAGUGAAUACGCUUCAACCUUGCUAAAGGGAUGUUGGUCUUUAAACAAUCCAAGAUUCAAUACUUUGAAUAUUUGAUGAGAGAUUGGGAAUAGUGUGACAAGGUAGACUUAAUCCCUUGGUGAAUCUCUAACCCUUAAAGGGUUAUAAUGGGGUUUAUAUAUGCAUCCAAGCCCUAGGGGAUUGGUAUCCCAAAGUUUUCAAACUCAAUUUAUGUGAAAUAUUCGAAAAUAUUAUGUCAUAUUUUGGCAUAUUCUAUUUAGGUGCUUGAGCGGUCCCAACGCUUUAGCGCUCUUUCCACUACUCGAGUGGUCCAACUUUUUUCAAAAUGAAUUAAUUUAAACUUUUUAAUUUCUAAAAAAUAUACCAAACAACUUUUAACCCAAAUAACACUUAACUUGUCACAUGUCAAACUUUUUUAGACUUACUUGUGACCUUUUAAUAGAACGAAGAGCAACCUUGAAUCUUUAAUGAAGAGUAAGUCACCAUUUAAAAAGAUUCCUAAGCUAGAAAAUAGAUUGGAACAAAAUUGCCAACAUACGAUGAAAACUCAUUGUCUUAACAUGUACUAAUUGGUUUUUAAAUAAAAUGAUCAAAGCUUAAUCUAAGAAUUAGUAUCAAAACCAAGGUUAUAGCUCGAAUCAUAGGGGCAUCAUGUUUUGAUUUGGGAUGAAUCACCCAAACGAAAAUAAUCCCUCUAUUGAAAGGAUUUUGAGGCACUGGCCAAAAAACCAAGGCCGCUGAACCCAGCUCAGCCUGUCCAGGUCUGAGGCAUGGGCUUCUAGCAGGCCAAAUUUGGACUGUGGAGCCAUCUAUCUUGUGGCUGGCGAUAGACUGUGUGGCAGCAUGUUCUGAGGAUGGUGGGCUAAAGUAAGAAACAAAUUCAAUGGAGAGAAUAACCUAGGUAGUCCUUCAGAAAACUAUUUUCCAUCUCCUCUACUUCCGGAAGGAAGUCACUGAGGGAGCAUGGAAAUGGAUCUGGAGAUUAAAUAAAACUUGAUAAUAGUUUUGUAGAGCUCUACAUUAAGAUGAGAAAUGACCCUAGGAAUGAUCCCAACAAAGGUAGAACACACCUUAGAUGUGAACGAAGUUAACAAACCAUGAAUUCAGAACAUAAAAGAUUAGAAGGUCCUCCCUGUAAUAAUCCAGGAGAGACAGCCAAGAUACUAAGAAACUACAAGAAGCGGUAUCAAUUCUGUGCGCAAAAUAACUUUAGGAUCCAGUCAUCCAAGGUAAUGAAAGAAAGAAAGAAAAGAAAGGGAAAAAAAACCCGGCAAGUUGUGUGCAAAGUUCAGACUGAUGUUGCAAAACAAGACCAACAUGCUAUCUAUCAUAACCAUGACCGGUGGAGGAGUGUUGAGAUACUUGGCUUUAGAUGAAUCAUUUAAUAUUUUUAUUUAAAUAAAUAGAGCGUUUUUCUAUGCAGCAACUGACAGAACUCAAAAGCUAAUAACAGCUUCGGUAACUGAAGCAAAUAAAGGAGAAGGCAAGAGAAUAGGAAGUACACAAACAAGCAACUGGACGAUAGAUGCUACGGUCCAUGACCACUCUUUAAACAAGAGAUUACCAAUAAAACAGGAGCUAAAAACCAUAACAAUCCAGCCCAUCAUGCAGCAACCUCUCCAAAGAUUGUUGAAUGCAAUAACUGAUGGAUAUAUAAGGAAUGCAGAUGGAGCCAGCAGUUAUGGAAAUUUCUCCUUAAAUAAAAUUACCAGAAGGGACCAUGGGCAUGAAUGAUGGCUAGGAGCAGGUAGAAGAUAGACUUGAUGAUCAACUAUUAUUUCAGGUGGAUAAACAUUUGCUUUUUCUGCAUACUCAUUCUUUGCUGAAUCCAAGAUAAAUUCCACCAAAUGCAAGUCAUCUUUCCGACAACGCAAUAAGACAGCAGGUUCCUUCAAUCUGAGUAAAUUCUGCGACACAUAUUGUUAGACUUAUACGUACUAUAUCAAAGGACACAAGACAAUGACUAAAUAUUUUUAUCCUUAUGUCAUGCCAAAACUUGCUAUGAAUUAGAAAAGUUAAAGCUCAUGUUUCGACAUCCUAUGGGGAUUGUAUCAAGCCACUUGUGGUCCACAGCAUUGGGGAGCAACAAACCAAUUAGAGAAAUUGAGCUAUUCCCACAAAUUAUUUAAUGUGAGUUCAGGCUUUCGGGUAGAACUUCAAGAUCUUGGGGGAAAACAUUUAAAAAUGCAAGUCUCAUUGGAGCUCCCCUUUAAAGAAUUUUUAAAAAAUGUACGAGUCCCAGGUGUACAUGAUCUAUGCAGCGAAGGAAAGAAAUUCCAUCCAUUUAUGAAUGUUGAAGCACGUUAGCCAUACCCACAACAAUAUGAUUCUGAUGACGAAGUUAUACCAAAUAAAAUUUUGCCAAAUCAGCUGAGUUUAUACUGACCUGAACCAUAAGAUCUUUCAGAAGCCUUUUAUAGACAUUGUGAUCAUGUCCAGAGACGAUGUUUUGAAAUGCAAUUCAUUGUUGCAUACUGAUACUAUCCACUAGGCAGAACAACAAACCGAAACCCCAAUUCCUCAUAGUGCAAAAACAUACUACUAGCUUUCAAAACCUGUUUAAGUUUCAGAGCCAAUCUCCUGAGGCAUUACUUCCAUUUGAAGAGCGAGACCAGUACUCCUUGACAAGCUGCCCAAACAGUGAUCCCUCCUCCUUUAUCAGCUUCAUCGGCUCAUCGUACUCUACCAAUUUUCCUAUAGAAGCAAAAGCGGUAGUUAUUCAAAUAGGUUUUGCUAUAUUGAUCCCAAUUCCCAACUAGAAUGAAAUGUUCCUUCAUAGAACUCACCAUCACUGAUAGCAAGCACCAUUGUGCAGUCCAUCACGGUUGGGAUUCUGUGGGCUACUGUAAUUACAGUGCAGUCUGCAAAUUCUGUUCUUAUGGUCUUCUGGAGAAUGGAGUCGGUUGCAUUGUCUAUGGAUGCAGUGGCUUCAUCAAGCACUAGUAUCCGACUUCUCCUCAGUAGAGCACGUCCCAAGCAGAAUAAUUGUCGCUGGCCCAUGCUCCAAUUUGAUCCGUCUUGUACAACUGUGGGGGAGACAGAUUGUUAGCAAGAGUUUUCGAGUCCAAAGAAUAGUACCUGUGUGUAUUAUGCUUCAUACCCAAGGAGUCCAGACCCUCUUCUUUCUCUUGAACAGCCCCUCGAAGUUGACAUUUUUCCAGAACCUUUCACAAAUUCAUGAGAAACAAUCUUAGUCUAGGAUAUAAAGUAAAUUUACCUUAUUAGGAAUCUGUUCUUUUUUAAGGCACUACCAUGACAAAUAUUUGGUAUGGAAAGAAAAUUAGGAGGCAUUUAAACGCAUUCUAAAACAUCUUCGUGUUCCAAAACACAGAAUAUCAGGAGCUCGAUUAAUGACAAUGGAAUUCAAAAUCUGACACUUUUUUAAUUAGUUUGAUACAGUAGAAACUGCCAUCUCUAUGCACUUAAGAGUGAAGCCUGCUUCAUAUCACUGGCAGAAUCUUUUAGAAAUCUGUAUCAUAUCAUUGAUUGAAUCUUAAAAUUAGCAACCACAACAAAUUAAUAGGAAACUCACCACCCAUAUUUCCUCAUCAGUAUGCAGUGAUAAGGGGUCAAGAUUGUAUCUUACAGACCCACUAAAGAGAGUUGGUUCUUGCGGAAUGAUCCCAAGACGUGAUCUGAGAUCAUGAAGCCCAAUUGUGGCAAUAUCUAUGCCAUCUAUAAUUAUCUGUCCCUCUGUAGGCUCUACCAAGCGAAACAAAAUGCUGAUAAGUGUUGUCUUUCCACUACCAGUCCGGCCAACGAUCCCAAUUUUCUGUCCUCCUCCAAAUUUGCAACUAAUUCCAUGAAGAACUAGAGGAGCAUUGGGCCGAUACUUGACCUGCUCAAUGUCAUGUCAUCUACUAUAUUAAUCUCUAUAAGUCUUGAAGUUGUAGAACACACACAGAUACUCAAAUUCUUACUGAUUUCACAUUUACCUUCAAAUCAUAAAUUUCCACUUCACCAAUAGUAGGCCAACUGACUGGUGGUCGAUUACUCUCUAUGACUUCAGGGGCUUCGCUAGGAAUAUUCGUGUACUGUUCUAAUCUUUCAACAGAAACAAUCAUAUUUGCUAAAUGGCACUGGUUUUGGACAGAAAACACAAGGAAUACAUUCGCUGAAAGACCAUAAGACAAUGCCAUUCCAAUAAAUCCUGCCAUCAGAACAUUGGCAACGUAAAUGCUCAUUAGACAAUAAUUCCAUAAAUGGUUGUCAAUUACUAAGAUUUCUUUAAAUAUCACAUUGACCAGGUUAUUUUUUAAUAUCAAAUACCGUGCAUGUAGGAAGUUAGUAGAAGGGUUUUUCUUUUGGAUUAUACACUGAUCUGUUUGUAUGAUUAUUGUGUAAGAAUCAUGGACUUGUUAGCUCACUUUGUUCUUGAUAUAACCUGAGUUUCUAGUUAUGAUGUUGAGAAAGUUGGAGCUAAAAUGGGUUGAUUAUAGUGAAUUUUUAUUACUACCAACUGGGCAGCUGUUGUUACGCGAUCUACAAAGCCCUAUCUUGUAUUCAUUUCACUCUACCCAAGGUCAAGUAGGAAACUAUUAUAGUUAACUUUCCUAUUUAAUGUUGGAUAUUUUUAUUGGAUUUUAGGUCAUCACUGAAUUGCCUCUAAUUAUUUCAUCCUUUUGAGGUUCCUUCUUUUCAGUGAGAAAUAUGAAAAUUUAGUGGAGGCCCUCGGUUGCUCAUCUCCUUUUUCAGUUAAAAGCAUAUGCUAGCUAGCAAGCAGUCAUGGCAGGCAACAGAAAAGUUUUUUUUUUUAUCUUAAAGUUCUGGUCCUUUUAGAGAAUUUACUAUUUGUGCCCUUAAUCAUACACUUCAUAUUUAUCAUUUUCCGGCUGUAGAUCUUACCUAUUGAAAAAUCCUAAUGGUAUCCUCUUGUAAGGAUCAAAAUUCACAUGGUCAAUUACUAUUCUAAAAGUUGCAUAGCCCCCUUAGGUUAAACAUGUUAUAAACUUCUAGGGAGUUAAACUGUUGAAAUUGGAGCAAAGAGAGAGUUUUAAGCAACUGCAAUGACAAUGAAGAUUCUGGCAUGGACCUUCUAAUUUCGCGUCCAUUCUCAUUGGUCAAGCCUCUUGAGUAAUUCAAGCUAUCUUGGAUUUCGCCCAGUUUGUUGCAUCAACUAAUGGAUAGUUGAGUAUGCAAAGUUAGGGACAGGAAGGACCUAUAAUUUCGAUGGUGUCUUGACUUUACAGUUUGGUACCCUCAUGGAAUCCUUUGGGAAAGAAAAAGAUACAGAGUACUUUUGGUGUUUUUCUUUUGGAGAUGGAAAGUUUUGUUAUUGGCAUUCACAAAUGGGGUAAAAUUGCAGAUCUCUAGAUGAUAUUGGGCAUGCUAGUUUUGGUAAGGCCAGUGAUGCAGGUGGCUACUAUGAGAUAAAACUUCAAGUUGCUGCAAGUUAAAAAUGCAAUAGGGGGAGGGGAAGGUUGAAUAUAAAAUAGGUGGAAUUCAUAAGAUAGAUCAAAAUAUCACAUAUUAAAUGGUGACUUGUCUUACUAUUAGGCAAAAUGGCUGGAUAGGAUCCUUGUAAUUAAACCAAGGUUGUGAUUCAAAUGGUACUUCUAGGGGAACAAAUUUACGAUUUGAUCUUAGAGAAUUGACAGUUAGAAAUGUUCAAGCAAACUAACAAAUUCAAAUGUAAUAGGGCUGUGUAAACUAGUGAGAAACAAUUGUAUAUUUGAGAUGAAAAACACCUACCAGAUUUAGAAGUACUCGUAUGAAGCAAAGUUAGGGCAAGGCCUGAAGAUGAGAGAACGAUUGCAGAUAGUAUUUCAAGGCGUAGGAUCAACCACUCAUUUGCUGUGAAACUAUAGAAGAAUGGACUUGCAUUCAUGUCAAUGAAGCCCAAAUUCUUUGAAAAGUGUCUAUCUUCCUCCCCGAAAGCUCUAAUUGUCAUAGCUCCAGCAAUGGACUCAGAAAGAUGGCUUGCAACAAAGGACUUAGUCGUGCCAUUGAUUCGCAUCAACUCUUUUCCAGCAGCAAAGUAGUACCUCUGGUUGUUAAAAUGAAAACAGACAUGAUCAAUUGCUGAGAGGCCAAGAGAAGUACAAAAUAUCUUACAAGGAAGACACGCCUAAAUGAGGAGGGAAGCAGCUGCCUCUACUACAUCUAAGAAAACAUCAGACAGCAGUGUAUUACCUGGAUGAGUAUACUUAGAUAAAUUGUUGGUAAAAUGACAAACACAAGUUCCCAGGCAAGAAUAGUCAAUACUCCAAAAUUGGCAUAAGCAUUCAUAGUUGUCCCGACAGCAACAGUAAAUUUGAAGGCCACAUCAAGGUCAACCACACUCAAAUCAGAAGAUACCUACAAAAAGCAAUAAAAAAAAUAAGUGUUUUGUUCUUUGUAGUAAGCAUUUAUUUUAAGCAUCUUACCCGACUGAGUAUCCUUCCCAGAGGUGUUGAGUCAUAAAAGGACAUUGGUGCUCGAAAAAGAGAGCUCAGCAGUGUAGAAAAUAUAGAUUGUGAUGCCCCAAGGCCUAAAAGAACAACAAAAAAAGAACGGAGCAAUAAAAAGAGUGAUAAGCUUAAUCCGAUCCCUGUGUAUACUGUAAUCAGUUUCAAUUGGCUAACACUAGAAUUGUGGAUAUUUGCAGCCAACCAAUAGUUUUGCACCAACUGCUCAACAAUGAAUGUGAUAUGAGAUAGAGUUGCCAAAAAGAAGUACAAGAAUCCCUUGCUGUAUUUCAAGUAUUGUAGGUAAGGCUUGAGACCGGUGUCUCCUGUUUCUCUUUCUUCUUUCUUAAUUAAUUGCUCUCCUGAUGUUUCUCUUAAUUGUUUUUCGGUGUAAAUCUUCUGUAUCUCUCCCUUCUGAAUUUUAGAUUUCUGGGUAGAAUCAUGCUCAGGUUGCCUCUCAGAACGAACUGUGGCAUUGUGUGCAUUGACAAGGUCCUGGAACUCUUGACUAGAGUGCAUCAGUUGCUCAAAGGUAGCAGCUUGCAGGAUCUCCCCUUCGGACAUUAACUGCCAACAGAAUUAGUCAUUUGGACUGCUUGAUUUAAAAGCAUGUGUUACUCAAGGAUUGCCUUCCAGAUGAUGGAAAUUAUUUGUUAAGAAAGGAAAAUGAAGUCAAAUGAGAGUUAAAGAACGAUAUCCAAGAAAGUAACUGUACUAACCAGAACCGAAUCAAAUGCAGGAAGGAAGUCCACCUGGUGGGUC
This 17325-nucleotide long non-coding RNA is filed under the name Vitis vinifera (wine grape). RNAcentral describes it as "long non-coding RNA (VVIN_LNC000330)". The record is from RNAcentral. Lineage: Eukaryota; Viridiplantae; Streptophyta; Magnoliopsida; Vitales; Vitaceae.